ACAGUGCCAGGGGGAGACAGCAUGAUCACAAAGGUUGUUUUCCCAGGGUGAGAGUCAUCCAUUGCACUUCAGAUGUGCUGACCUCUGCAAUUUCCCCAAAUGCAGGAAACUCAACUACAUAAUUUGUGGUAGUGGUCUGAGUGUUGGACUAGGACUC
Sceloporus undulatus (fence lizard) is the source of this 157-nucleotide small nuclear RNA. RefSeq annotates it as U1 spliceosomal RNA. Lineage: Eukaryota; Metazoa; Chordata; Lepidosauria; Squamata; Phrynosomatidae. The record is from RefSeq and is a predicted model, not a curated record. The transcript has a single exon.